RNAcentral lists this small nucleolar RNA (62 nucleotides) under Tursiops truncatus (common bottlenose dolphin). RNAcentral's name for it is "Small nucleolar RNA SNORA31 (ENSTTRG00000024592.1)". Lineage: Eukaryota; Metazoa; Chordata; Mammalia; Artiodactyla; Delphinidae. The record is from RNAcentral.
AAGAAAAAGUGUCCUUGGGCUUUCUGUCUGCCUGACAGUGGCAGCCAGGAUUGAAUUGGGGA